CCUACGUGAGGCAGCAGUGAGGAAUAUUGGUCAAUGGGCGCGAGCCUGAACCAGCCAAGUAGCGUGAAGGAUGACUGCCCUAUGGGUUGUAAACUUCUUUUAUAAAGGAAUAAAGUGAGGCACGUGUGCCUUUUUGUAUGUACUUUAUGAAUAAGGAUCGGCUAACUCCGUGCCAGCAGCCGCGGUAAUACGGAGGAUCCGAGCGUUAUCCGGAUUUAUUGGGUUUAAAGGGAGCGUAGAUGGGUUGUUAAGUCAGUUGUGAAAGUUUGCGGCUCAACCGUAAAAUUGCAAUUGAUACUGGCAGUCUUGAGUACAGUUGAGGUAGGCGGAAUUCGUGGUGUAGCGGUGAAAUGCUUAGAUAUCACGAAGAACUCCGAUUGCGAAGGCAGCUUACUAAACUGCCACUGACAUUGAUGCUCGAAAGUGUGGGUAUCAAACAGGAUUAGAUACCCUUGUAGUC
Molecule: ribosomal RNA, 460 nt
Filed under: uncultured bacterium
Lineage: Bacteria
Description: partial 16S ribosomal RNA
Rfam family: Bacterial small subunit ribosomal RNA
Source: RNAcentral